This 429-nucleotide ribosomal RNA is filed under the name Chloroflexota bacterium. Its description in RNAcentral is "Chloroflexi bacterium partial 16S ribosomal RNA". It matches the Rfam family "Bacterial small subunit ribosomal RNA", at positions 355 to 776 of the family's 1533-position model. Lineage: Bacteria; Bacillati; Chloroflexota. The record is from RNAcentral.
UGGGGAAUAUUGCACAAUGGGCGCAAGCCUGAUGCAGCCAUGCCGCGUGUGUGAAGAAGGCCUUCGGGUUGUAAAGCACUUUCAGCGGGGAGGAAGGCGAUAAGGUUAAUAACCUUGUCGAUUGACGUUACCCGCAGAAGAAGCACCGGCUAACUCCGUGCCAGCAGCCGCGGUAAUACGGAGGGUGCAAGCGUUAAUCGGAAUUACUGGGCGUAAAGCGCACGCAGGCGGUCUGUCAAGUCGGAUGUGAAAUCCCCGGGCUCAACCUGGGAACUGCAUUCGAAACUGGCAGGCUAGAGUCUUGUAGAGGGGGGUAGAAUUCCAGGUGUAGCGAGGAAAUGCGUAGAGAUCUGGAGGAAUACCGGUGGCGAAGGCGGCCCCCUGGACAAAGACUGACGCUCAGGUGCGAAAGCGUGGGGAGCAAACAGG